AGGCGUGUAGCUCAAUUGGAAGAGCAGCUGACUCCAAAUCAGCAGGUCGGGGGUUCGAGCCCCUCCACGCCUG
Molecule: transfer RNA, 73 nt
Filed under: bacterium
Lineage: Bacteria
Also listed under: 1 other name
Description: tRNA-Trp
Rfam family: tRNA
About the family: Transfer RNA (tRNA) molecules are approximately 80 nucleotides in length. Their secondary structure includes four short double-helical elements and three loops (D, anti-codon, and T loops).
Source: RNAcentral